Non-coding RNA from Cinara cedri, 305 nucleotides. The record is from the annotation of a GenBank genome assembly. NCBI's taxonomy places the organism in Eukaryota, Metazoa, Arthropoda, Insecta, Hemiptera, Aphididae.
UUAGCAACAAUUUCAUGAGCUUAAGCUUGUUUCGGUGACGUUAAAUUAUUAGCAUCGAUUCACUUUUACCUAAUCACUGAAUUUCGAAUAUUUUAUUGCAUACAAUAACAGUGAAUGCAAAACCUCAGGGAUUCGUGUCAUGUUUAGUUGCCUAAUUUACAUAUAUACGGCGCUAGCAGUUAUGUGAUAUUAUUACGCAUAAAUAUAUUUUGCACUCUUAUUAAUAUUAUACACACAACAUACACGGGUAAUAGAAAUUAUCUACUUCAAUUUUCGUCAUAAUUAUGUUUGGUGCACAAUUUUCG